RNAcentral lists this ribosomal RNA (398 nucleotides) under uncultured bacterium. RNAcentral's name for it is "partial 16S ribosomal RNA". It matches the Rfam family "Bacterial small subunit ribosomal RNA", at positions 523 to 918 of the family's 1533-position model. The record is from RNAcentral.
AUACGUAGGGUGCGAGCGUUGUCCGGAAUUACUGGGCGUAAAGAGAUCGUAGGUGGUUUGUCGCGUCGUCUGUGAAAUUCCGGGGCUUAACUCCAGGCGUGCAGGCGAUACGGGCAUAACUUGAGUACUGUAGGGGAGACUGGAAUUCCUGGUGUAGCGGUGAAAUGCGCAGAUAUCAGGAGGAACACCGGUGGCGAAGGCGGGUCUCCGGGCAGUAACUGACGCUGAGGAGCGAAAGCAUGGGUAGCGAACAGGAUUAGAUACCCUGGUAGUCCAUGCCGUAAACGGUGGGCGCUAGGUGUAGGGGUCCUCCACGACUUCUGUGCCGUAGCUAACGCAUUAAGCGCCCCGCCUGGGGAGUACGGCCGCAAGGCUAAAACUCAAAGGAAUUGACGGGG